GCGUAAUAGCUCACUAGUCGAGUCGGCCUGCGCGGAAGAUGUAACGGGGCUAAGCUAUAAACCGAAGCUGCGGCAAUGCAUUUAUGUAUUGGGUAGGGGAGCGUUCUGUAAGCCGUUGAAGGUGGAUUGUAAGGUCUGCUGGAGGUAUCAGAAGUGCGAAUGCUGACAUGAGUAACGAUAAAGGGGGUGAAAAACCUCCUCGCCGGAAGACCAAGGGUUCCUGUCCAACGUUAAUCGGGGCAGGGUGAGUCGACCCCUAAGGCGAGGCCGAAAGGCGUAGUCGAUGGGAAACGGGUUAAUAUUCCCGUACUUCUUACAAUUGCGAUGGGGGGACGGAGAAGGCUAGGUGGGCCUGGCGACGGUUGUCCAGGUUCAAGUGCGUAGGCUUGAGAGUUAGGUAAAUCCGGCUCUCUUUAAGGCUGAGACACGAUGUCGAGCUACUACGGUAGUGAAGUCAUUGAUGCCAUGCUUCCAGGAAAAGCCUCUAAGCUUCAGAUUGUAAGGAAUCGUACCCCAAACCGACACAGGUGAUCAGGUAGAGAAUACCAAGGCGCUUGAGAGAACUCGGGUGAAGGAACUAGGCAAAAUGGUACCGUAACUUCGGGAGAAGGUACGCUCCUGUCGGUGAAGUCCCUUGCGGAUGGAGCUAACGGGAGUCGCAGAUACCAGGUGGCUGCAACUGUUUAUUAAAAACACAGCACUGUGCAAAAUCGUAAGAUGACGUAUACGGUGUGACGCCUGCCCGGUGCCGGAAGGUUAAUUGAUGGGGUUAGACUUCGGUCGAAGCUCUUGAUCGAAGCCCCGGUAAACGGCGGCCGUAACUAUAACGGUCCUAAGGUAGCGAAAUUCCUUGUCGGGUAAGUUCCGACCUGCACGAAUGGCGUAAUGAUGGCCACGCUGUCUCCACCCGAGACUCAGUGAAAUUGAAAUCGCUGUGAAGAUGCAGUGUACCCGCGGCUAGACGGAAAGACCCCGUGAACCUUUACUACAGCUUGGCACUGAACAUUGAGCCUACAUGUGUAGGAUAGGUGGGAGGCUUUGAAACACAGACGCCAGUUUGUGUGGAGCCGACCUUGAAAUACCACCCUUGUAUGUUUGAUGUUCUAACUUAGGCCCCUCAUCGGGGUUGAGGACAGUGCCUGGUGGGUAGUUUGACUGGGGCGGUCUCCUCCCAAAGAGUAACGGAGGAGCACGAAGGU
This 1199-nucleotide ribosomal RNA is filed under the name marine metagenome. Its description in RNAcentral is "bacterial LSU rRNA". It matches the Rfam family "Bacterial large subunit ribosomal RNA", at positions 1132 to 2317 of the family's 2925-position model. The record is from RNAcentral.